This 468-nucleotide ribosomal RNA is filed under the name uncultured bacterium. RNAcentral describes it as "partial 16S ribosomal RNA". It matches the Rfam family "Bacterial small subunit ribosomal RNA", at positions 28 to 507 of the family's 1533-position model. The record is from RNAcentral.
GACGAACGCUGGCGGCGUGCUUAACACAUGCAAGUCGAACGGAAAGGCCCUGCUUUUGUGGGAUGCUCGAGUGGCGAACGGGUGAGUAACACGUGAGUAACCUGCCCUUGACUUUGGGAUAACUUCAGGAAACUGGGGCUAAUACCGGAUAGGAGCUCCUGCUGCAUGGUGGGGGUUGGAAAGUUUCGGCGGUUGGGGAUGGACUCGCGGCUUAUCAGCUUGUUGGUGGGGUAGUGGCUUACCAAGGCUUUGACGGGUAGCCGGCCUGAGAGGGUGACCGGCCACAUUGGGACUGAGGUACGGCCCAGAGUGCUACGGGAGGCAGCAGUGGGGAAUAUUGCACAAUGGGCGGAAGCCUGAUGCAGCAACGCCGCGUGCGGGAUGACGGCCUUCGGGUUGUAAACCGCUUUCGCCUGUGACGAAGCGUGAGUGACGGUAAUGGGUAAAGAAGCACCGGCUAACUACGUG